AUCUUUGACUGGGUUAACAGGAAAUCCUGUUCAUACUGUGUGUUCCCUUUUUGCUGAUCCUACACUUGGUGUCGUUGUUAGAAGUGUUCUUUCUGCAUCUUCAGUAGGCUUGUGCCACUGGAACUUUGGUAGCAGUAACGAAAGAUGGCAGGUGAAAAGAGGGGUAAGAAAACAAAGAAGGCUAACGAGACAGCGGUUCCCCGAAGACCACCAGAAAACCUUGCGAUUAGAAAUAGAAGCCCGUCGCCAUGUCUUCCACCACGCGGCACUCCAUUGCCUCAUGAUCCCCUUAGUGUAGACUAGUUUAAUGUUUUGUGGAUGUUUACAAAUGUUGAAGUAGUUUAAUGUUGUUUUGAUGUUUGCGAAGGUUGAAGUAGCUUAAUUAAUGUCUCUUGUGAAUGUUUGAUUGACGUUUUUAUUCAACUUUGAAGUAAUUUCGAAUUGAAUUUGAUGUUUUGGUGGUUGUAAUAUAUGUGUUGUAAUAGUAGCUUAUUGUUUUAUGUAUUUA
This is a long non-coding RNA of Lycium barbarum (goji berry), 508 nucleotides long. RefSeq lists it as uncharacterized. Lineage: Eukaryota; Viridiplantae; Streptophyta; Magnoliopsida; Solanales; Solanaceae. The transcript is spliced from 2 exons. The record is from RefSeq and is a predicted model, not a curated record.